AAAGUCGUAACAAGGUUUCCGUAGGUGAACCUGCGGAAGGAUCAUUAACACGUAUCCACGUAUCAAACCCCUCUGUGAAAACCUAUUACUCUGUAAGGCUUGGUCUUAGUAUGUUGUUCGCAUAAAGUCCUAAUGAUGGAGGCUUCGGCCUAGGGCUUGAACAUCAUGUGUUUGACGAUCAGCCGCCACUUUUCCAUCGUUGGCCCUUUUAUCUCAUUUAACCCCUUUGUACUCUUUUUGUACUGAACCAAUUCUUCGAUGCUCUUACGAGCGACGAAAGAUAUUACGAAACUAAAGAACAACUCUUAGCAACGGAUAUCUUGGUUCCC
This 329-nucleotide unclassified non-coding RNA is filed under the name Cercozoa sp. RNAcentral describes it as "partial contains small subunit ribosomal RNA, internal transcribed spacer 1, and 5.8S ribosomal RNA". The stretch from base 1 to 47 matches the Rfam family "Eukaryotic small subunit ribosomal RNA", at positions 1785 to 1831 of the family's 1831-position model. The record is from RNAcentral. Lineage: Eukaryota; Cercozoa.